CUGCUUUUUCCUGGGUCUGCGGGUCACGCUGCCCAACCCCCCCCCUCCUCCCCGCCGGUUGGCUCACCUGCCUGGCACGGCGGAAACAAGACCCCGGAAAGGGUGCGUAGGAAGACUCGUUUAGGGUUGGAGAGAAAUUAAGCCAUAAAGACGGCUUUGAACAUUCUUUCUUCUGGAUCGGCGCGGCGCCCCCCAGUGUUCCUGUGUCGAUUCCCAACCGCGCUGUUCUAUGCUGUAGUCACUGACCAUGUUUGCUCAUCUUAAUUUGCGUUAACUGAAGUUUAAAUCCAGUUCCUCCGCUAUCACAGAGCCACGAAGGACACCCUGAAGUAGGGUUAGGAUCGCUGUGAGAACUCUUAAAAUUACAGUGACUGGCUGGAGUAUAAAGACCCUAGAUUUACCAGAACAUGAGACGGUUAGCAGCACUCAGCUUUCAUGGGGUUCCUUUGACUUGGGAGCCAGCACAACCAGGCCUUAAUGUUUGCUUGAAAGGUGCACUGGGGGCCCAGGGGAUGGCAAGUGGGGUUCACCUGCCCUGCCCAGGGCUGAGGCACGUGUGAGACAUCCCGGCCAGUUCCUGCCGCAGGACUCUUGGAGGAAGCAGGGCAGCGGUGUGGUUGGCCGUUCCCACACCUGCUUGUGUGCCAGGCAGUUGGGGGAUCCAGAGGGUUGCCGAGGCUGGCUGUUCUCAGACAAGAGCAGGCAGGUCCCAACUCUCCUCCUGUGUAGUGCUGCUGCUCUGCCUGCUGGCAGCUGCCCAUGACUCAGACCCUAGAUGGAAGCCUGCUGGGUCCCUGGGUGCUCCCUCUCAGAAGGCCUAGAAGUCUGAAAACAAACGCCUUCUUUAGGACCGAGCUCUGAACGUGUGUUCAUACUUGAGUAGGAAGACCACUGAAAGCCAUUUCCCAGGCCGGGAAGUUUUCAGGCCACCUUCAUUUUGGUGAUGUUAUAAUCUGGAGAGUUACACUUUCAUUCUAUUUUCAGUCAUGUAGAGUGUACUCGGGCCAGUGAUGAAAAAGUCACUGUAAAGAUUAAAACUGUUGAGCCUG
Molecule: long non-coding RNA, 1049 nt
Organism: Cervus elaphus (red deer)
Lineage: Eukaryota; Metazoa; Chordata; Mammalia; Artiodactyla; Cervidae
Exons: 2
Source: RefSeq, a predicted model, not a curated record